Magnolia sinica is the source of this 748-nucleotide long non-coding RNA. RefSeq lists it as uncharacterized. The record is from RefSeq and is a predicted model, not a curated record. The transcript has 4 exons. Lineage: Eukaryota; Viridiplantae; Streptophyta; Magnoliopsida; Magnoliales; Magnoliaceae.
GAGAGAGAGGAAACGGCUCAAGUAUCAAAUGUCAUGCACCCUGCUUCAUUUCAACCUUUACAUUAUCCAUUUACAUUCUCUGCAUUGAGUAAUUCCAAUCAGGGUUCACAUAUUACUAUAUUGAGCCCCGUAGGAUUACCAAGUGGAUCCCAUGCAGGACAUUGUUAUCAUAUGGUGAUGGGCUAUACUCCUGGCCCUAGUGGAUCCAUGAAUGCACCAUUGGCUCAAUAUGGGUACCAAUUACCUAAUGUUAGCACGUUUCAACAAAACCUCGUCAACAUUGGAUCUCAGUCAUCAUCACCACUAUCUUAUAAGAAUCAAUCAUUGGGCUGUGAAGAUCACAACCUAUGUUCGAGUAAUUAGAUUUUCUUUUGUUAAAGGUUGCCAAACAAUGAGUCAGAGAUCAUAUUCGUUGGCGGAGAUGUUGAUAUGCUUCCGCUGGUGUUGGAAGACCAGAUUAUGCAAAUCAGAUUGUUAAUUGACUGCUGAUACAAACUAGAUCUCCUACUUUUAAUUGAGGUCUUUUUGUAUUAUGACUUCAAAUUUGCUUUAUUAUGGGAUGAUCUUGAGAAGUGUAUGAGAAGAUUAAAUUACUCUUCUUUUGAUUUGAAUGGGUAUAUAUCAAUGUAUGAACACAAGCUAUGGGGGUAAUGUGGAUUUUGUUUAUGUGAAUUAGAUGUGGGUUGAAUGUGUAAUUGAAUUGUAAAUAUGGGUUGAAUUGGAUGCCAGAACAAAUGGGUUUGGAUUA